CAAAAUAUGUCAUCAGAGCAUAGCAAAACGCUCUUUUAGUUGUUUGAUGAGUUGCUGCGUAUCAAUGUGGCCUGGAAAUGCUUCCUCUGACUUCUGAGCAGCCAUGUAACUCCUCUGAAAGUCUCCAACCUUCUCUGAGAGUAUUGCAAAAUUAAAGUGGGGCUCAUACAUAUGAGGUGCUAAAUAUGAAGCAGUCUGCAGCAAAGCUCUUGCCUGUUCAAUGUGACCUUUUUGCAUUUCCAGCACAGCCAAGUUGUUGUAAGCUUCUGCAUAGUCGUUAUUGUUGACUAAGGUCAGUUUGAAACACUGGUAAGCCAGAUUCAGGUCUCCUAUCCCCACAGCCACGUGUCCCAAGUUGUACCACACAUCUGCUCUUUCCUCUUCAUUUUCGGCCAAAAACAGUGCUCGUUCAAAUGAAGUUAGUGUCAUAUCAUACUGCUGGGCAUAGAAGCAACAGAGGCCCAGAUUGUUAAAAAGCUGGUAG
This 484-nucleotide long non-coding RNA is filed under the name Gallus gallus (chicken). The record is from RNAcentral. Lineage: Eukaryota; Metazoa; Chordata; Aves; Galliformes; Phasianidae.